GGUAUCUUGCCCGAGUGGUCUAAGGGGGCGGACUUAAGAUCCGCUAGCUGCGUGGGUUCAAACCCCACAGAUACCA
Molecule: transfer RNA, 76 nt
Filed under: Phytophthora infestans (potato late blight agent)
Lineage: Eukaryota; Oomycota; Peronosporomycetes; Peronosporales; Peronosporaceae
Description: tRNA-Leu
Rfam family: tRNA
About the family: Transfer RNA (tRNA) molecules are approximately 80 nucleotides in length.
Source: RNAcentral